Molecule: ribosomal RNA, 301 nt
Filed under: uncultured bacterium
Lineage: Bacteria
Description: partial 16S ribosomal RNA
Rfam family: Bacterial small subunit ribosomal RNA
Source: RNAcentral
CAGUCGCCACGGGAAUACGUAGGGUGCGAGCGUUAAUCGGAAUUACUGGGCGUAAAGCGUGCGCAGGCGGUUCGUUAAGACAGAUGUGAAAGCCCUGGGCUCAACCUAGGAAUUGCAUUUGAUACUGUUUGGCUUGAGUUCGGGAGAGGUGAGUGGAAUUCCCAGUGUAGAGGUGAAAUUCGUAGAUAUUGGGAAGAACACCAGUGGCGAAGGCAGCUCACUGGACCGACACUGACGCUGAGGCGCGAAAGCGUGGGGAGCAAACAGGAUUAGAUACCCGGGUAGUCCCUGUCUCUUAUAC